Non-coding RNA from Cyanistes caeruleus (blue tit), 12387 nucleotides. The record is from RefSeq and is a predicted model, not a curated record. NCBI's taxonomy places the organism in Eukaryota, Metazoa, Chordata, Aves, Passeriformes, Paridae.
CUCGGGGCAGCGGCGGGCUGGCGUGGCCCGCGCGUGCGCUCCCGUUGGAACGGGCUGCUGAGGGAGCUGGCGGAGUAACUCCCUGCAGGUUGGACUCGAUGAUCCCAGAGACUUCUCCAGGCUGAUGGGUUCUGCGGUUGUGUCCCGCUCGCAUGCGCUAUCGCCGCCGCUGGCGAGCGGGACACGGCGCGGGCCGGGGCGCUCCAGCCCUGGCACUGCUGCGUGUGCCACGAGAGGGCAGCGGAACCCUGGAAACCCGGACGGGAGCGCAAACCUGUCCCAAAACAGGCACUACGUUAGAAUAGAUAUUUCCAGUGUUCAGAGCACAAACACUUUGGCUCCACGUAAAUAACAAGCUGUCAAAAUAACAGGGCUUAUCGCUUCAGAUGCUGUGCUGGUAAUUGUCCACGCCUAGUUGUCAAACGAAUCACUAUUUUAAACUUGCUCCACGCACACGAUGACCUGUGCCAGGAGACCUGGGAAGGGGGAGGGAAAAAGCAAAGAAAGGCAAACAAGUCUAGUAAUAACUGAGGUGGAUGGCAUUCUUCUCAUUCCCAAGGCCUGACAGGCCGAUUCUGGAUAAUGUGAUUUGUGGAAAAGUCAUUCUGUUCUCCAAGGCAUAGUUCAGAGGUUAACUGGAGAUGGUUCUACAUCCAUUUGAGGGAAUGUUAGCAGGGAGUAAUGUUAUUAAUCCCAAAUAAUGUUAUUUUAUAGGCAUGGUGACAAUCAAACGCACUUUUUUCAAGCCUCUGUUUCACUUGCAAAUAUUCUCAAGACACCAUAGUGAAUAAACAACCUCUUAUUUUCUAUGGCACCUUUCAUUCUGUAAAACCUAAAGUGCUUUCAAAAGUAUACUAUUAAAGUAGAAAAAUCAACUAAAUGACCAGUGAAAGGCAUCCAAGCAGGAACAUGGUGGUGGCUGCAUGGUUCUCGACACUGUUGCAGGCAGGAAGCAGGUAUGAAGAUGCCCCUAGAACUUAAGGAGCACUUUGGAAAAUUGCAAAGAUUUUGUCUGAGAUAUGAGUGAUAACACCUUUACUACUUCAAAGAAAAAACACCAUUAAGUCUUUCCUUCCCAUAAAUUGUUCUUAUCCAGAGAAUAAACCUCUCCGUAAAAUAUGUAACAGAAUACAAAUGUUUGAUUUGUAUGUGUAUCUCGCAUGCCCAUACACGCUAUUUCGUAACAUCAUUUAAACAAUUUUUAGAACUGUGAGACACACAUACUCCACUUUACCUCAGAUUAUCACUUAAAUGAGCUGGCUUUGUUUCAGUCAUUUCCUGCUCUGCCCAACACCUUUUCUGCAAGCAAUUUGGGAUGGGAAGGGAUUUGCCUGUGGGUAGUGGCAUUGUGGCUCCCUGUGGGUGGCUCAGCAUCACGAUUGCCAUUCAUUUUUGCAGGGAGAGGCUGUGCUGCUGUGCAGGGGCUCUCAUCCUCCGUCCCAUCACAGCUUCCGUGGCUGCAUCCACAUCCAUAUCCCAUGGAACCCCCGCUAUGUGCUGCAGCAGGAGAGGGGCUUUGAGCUUCUAGGAGAGUAUUUAUUUGUCCCUGUGUGCAGUGUGUUUCUGUGUGUUCAAAAUUGUUGUCAUUUAGAUCUAGAAUAUUAUUUUCCUUGUUUAUUGGUAAAAGUCAUCAGGAAAAAAUUGAUUGAAAGGUAAUUAGCCAUCUCUUUGGUGACAUUCUUAUAUCCAACACCCACAAAACAUGAUGCAAUUAAAGCUUUGUAAAACAUGCCUUUUAAAAAAAUACUUCAGAUAAAUGCUACCAGAUCAAUCAGUUGUGGUUGAAACCUGUUGGACACAUACCAUUGUCUGUUUUUAACAUCCCACAGACAGACAGACACGUAGAAGGGGAGUGUGCAAAAGAUUCAUGUCCAGUCUUGCAGACAAGGGCAAUUAGCCUGGCUUAGCACACGUAAGGUGAUGUCAACAAACAUCCUCCUCCAGAAACACCAGAUUCCAAUACUGUGGAGUGAGUAUGUGCUGCUUGUCACUGCUCCUCUCCAACUGCUCUCAAAACUGAGACAUCAGUAUUUAAUAUUAAAAAGCCUGAGGUAACAAGGGGUAUAAGGCAGUCCUUAUGUAAAUUGUUCAUGGGGUAGGUUCUUAGGAAUUUGGAGUAGGGCUAUUUCUCCAGCAAAAGAUAUUAAAUGGGCAGAGCUGAGAGCACCUUCCACAAGUGUGCUGGGAUCCAAAAAUUUAUAUGUCUCCAUUGCAUAAAUCUCCAUUCACUGCUUAGCCCAAGCAAAGGAGUUUUAACAUGUAGCUUCUGUCCAGAAGCAAUUUAUUUACCUCAUUAAUCAGUGACUUAUUACUGAAGUGCAGAACAUCACUGGUCCAUCAGCUUUUGUUUCAGAAGAUGAAAGUCCCUCAUAACACACCUGGAUGCUUCUACAGUCCAAUGCAAGGUGCAGAGAAAGAUGAACCUAGUGGCAUAGAGGGGGCUGGGGGAAAUUACAGUGCAAGAGAGCAGAUAAGAGUUGGAAAAAUGCAGACUGUAAACAAAGACGUUUCUGUUCUCAGGUUGGCCAAGUGGUUGCUGCUAAGUCACAAUAACCCUGGGUUGUCACCUUUGAAUUUUACUUGUCAUUCUGGUAUGCAAUACAAGAAUGUGUGUCGUUUCAUCAUUCUCCUUGCCUGCACAGGUUACCUAAUUAAUUUACUACAAACUAUAAAAGUAAUUCCUUGUACUAAUUGCUUUGUCUGCUGCAUGACCAAAGAGGAAGCUGGGACUUUGAAACAAGGUGGUUUUCUUUAGGUGAGAAAAGUGAGACAUACAAAGUCAGGCUAUUUUGUCUUUGUCUUAUUCCCUCGCAAUAUAUGUACAAAGCUUUCCUACUCCUGAUAAAAUGAGAAAGUCUCAAAAACACUCCAGCAGAUAGCAGUAGAUCCCUGACAUUUGGUCAUUUGUGUCACUGAUGUUCAAAUUUAAAUGUUGGGGUUUUUUUCUGUUUUUUUCCAUUGUUAUUGUUGGUUGUUCCCUUAAGAAUUAAAGACUGCUUAAACACAGUAGUAGAAGCCAAGAAGACCAAUUGCUCUUCUUCACAGUAACAAACAUUGUUGUUAUAAGUAAAAGAAAUACUAUAGCAGGAUCUUGUUCUCCGUCCACAAGUACAGUCUUCAGGUGGUCAGAAAUUUCAGAGAUUGAGUCCAGUGGAUUGGCAAAUUUAACUAAAACGCUUGUAACUAAAAGUUAUACAUCAAGUGUUUUGUUAUAUGUGUUAUACAUAUGUGUAGGAAAAAAGUAGGGGAGUGUCGGGUUUCGGCAGGUAACCAGAAUGCUGUAUAUACAAUAACACUAGAUGGCUGCAGCGUCUCCAAGAAACUGCUGGCGUCUGCAGGUUUGAUUUUGCAGCUUGUGCACCUGAAAUACACACAGUGUGAUGUGUUGAUCAGUGGAAUGUGUUUGUGUGCCAGCCCCUCUGUGUUAGUAGGCAAUCCAGUUCUCUGAUCCUGCAGGCAGAGCUAUAGGAUGGGCAUUUGCUGACAUCUAGACUUAAGCAUCCCACCAAAUGACAUGAAUAUCAUGCUGUGGUGGGGCAGCCUUCCUCCAGAUUUGUUAUGUCCCUGUUACCAGGAGCUGAAUCACAUGUGAAGCAACUCCUGAGACACUAAUUUCUAACCUGGCCUUUUGAGAAACCUGAUAUCCCCGUAACUGCCAGGCAAAGGGUGGAGUAUGCAGAGGGAGGCAGAAACCUCUGUGGCCAUUCAGCUUUAAUCAACCAUAUUUGUUUGUUUACAAGGAUGUCUAAAUAAUACCACCCACCAUUCUGUUCAUCAACAUCCCAAAGGUUUCCAGCAUACAGUUCUCAAGUUUCUAGCUCCUGUUGCAACAUGCAGCCCGGACCAGACAGAGCAGGAUUUGGGUUGUCAGGGAAAAGGAUUGAUAGCGGGAUGUUACGCUUCAGCAGGUAAUCUGUUCUCUUGAGAAGCAGGAUCCUUCCUUAAAAGAUGCUGCAAAAGUGACAAAAUAAUUACCAUGUAAGUCUGACAGUUUCAGUGAGCUCUUAAACUGGUGUUUGAAUACACAACUUUUAUUCAUAUAUUAGAUGAAUUGUUGCUUGUGUCUUCUCACAAUGACCAGGUCUGGAUGUUUCAGCAUCACUGUUUGUAACUGAUAAUACAUCUGCUGAGAAAUGUCAGUUUAAUCAGCUCAUCACCCAGUCCAAAUCUUUCAAGUAUAAUUUAUGUCAGCAGUGUGUUCCCUGGCUUACUUUGGGUGUCACAAAAUCCCCUUCUAGUUUCUCUGCCCAUAAUUGUUUGGCUCUUUGCAAUAUUUUGUGGCUGUGUAUCCAUGCAGGCAUCAAAUUCAUGUGUAAUGAGACCUAAUACUUUCUGCUUCAAAAUUACAUUCUGCUCUCCAUUGACACGUAUGCGUACUAGGAUCAGAGCUUACAACUUCAUUUCGAGGCACCCCAGGAAGGUCAGGUGGAACCAAACCCUGGAAGGCACCUAACCAUGUUGCACAAAGCUCCUGCCUGGUACAUAAAACACCUUUUUGCUUGUGGCUGCAAGAAAUUAAAAUGUUACUGUUAAGGCAGAGAUGAAGAGCACAGAAAUUCUUCUGUGCUUUAGUUUGCUGCUCAUCACUCUUGUCAAUUUGCCAGUUAAGCCUGGAGAUCCUAACAUCCCAUCAACUGCAGCCUGUGACCCACUGGGUGUUGAGAAUUCAUAAACUAAGGGAUCUGGAAAAGCUGAUCACAGGAUGCAGCUUUGCAUGUGCUGCACAGCAACCCACAGAGGUGUGAGCUCAGGGAGUUCUCACCUUGAUUUGAGCAUGCCAACUCCCUGCUUCUCCCCACAGAGUCAGCUCUAACCAGGAAUGAUUACAUUUUUGAGUGUCACAUGAGACAAGGACCUUUAAGUCACACUGAACAAAACCCACCCCUUGUGAAAUUUUUGCUGUCAGGCUAAGGAAGGGCACAAACAUCUGUGAGCUCAAUGUAUACCAAACAUGCAUGUUGAAAUCUUACUACAGGUUGAGAGCACAGAGUGGGGAGACGUAUAUGCACAGGCAAACACAGUGCUGAUGACACAAGAGUGAUAGAAGCACCACAAUGCUCACAAAACUGUGCAUGGGUAAUAAACCAGAUCCUUUUGUGGGUUUUGAUUGCAGGGAUUCAGCUGGAUCUGAUGACAGCUGGUUUGCAUGAGACAAUCAGUCUUGCCUUUGGUAACUCAUUCAGAACUGGGCUAGCUACAGUAUUUAUCACCAUCUAAUGUUUUUUAUUCAUUUCAUCAUCAUUACAAAUAUCAGGAAAUGCUGCACAAUUAGCAAACCCAUGUUUUAACCCCAGUAAACAGGAGGGCCAGAUUCACAUUCACAUUGCCUUCUCAAAGGUUUCUAGAACCACAGUCAUGGUGGUGAAGGAUCUGUCAGUGCCAUUAAGAAUUUUUUUUCCCAGAGAUAGUCAACACCAUUAAUAAGCUUAGAUUGUCUCCAGGGGAACCUGCUUGGUACAAGGGUUGCCUGCAAUUUUACUAACUAAUGUGAUUUAUUUGUGUUUUGCAAUAUAGGACCCAAAAUUCACUUAGUUCACAGCACACAGAUGGUAAAGUCACCAUCUCACUUAAAAUACCAUUCCUUCUGAUUCCUCCAUGAUUAGUUUUUGCUGACUCACAAGCAACUUCUACUAUGCAAGAGUAUGUUGAUCUUCAGCAACAGGUAACAGCAUACAUAGACACAGAGCCUCCAGCCUGGUAAGUCUAGCAUGUGUCAGAAAUGUGGGCUCAGGCAGCCACAAGUGGCUCUCUGCAUCCUUGGUGGGGUGGAGAACACAGCCCUUAAUACAUGCUUCUAGCAUAUCUGCUGAGAAAUGAAACUCCCUUCCCUCACACUCACCACAGCACAAAGGUAUUUUGAAUCCUACAAAAGGCAUGCCAAAAAUCAGAUUUUUCCAUCAACAGAGAAAAUGAGGAAUGUGUGUAUCUGGUCUGUUGGGCUCCAAGGGGGAGAUGAUUAAUCACCAGCAAGGGAGGAUGAGUGUAGAUGGCAAGUCAGCAUCUCUAAGUAUUUUGUUUUUCCUCCCAUAUCCCUUUCUCCUUUUAAAAUGAAUUUUAAGAGAUUAUUUACAGUAAAGUCCCCUCCACAUGCUUUGGCAUCUUGUCUGAAGUCACAUUCUUUCUGCCAGCAUUCAGAAAACACUGGUCUAGAAAACAGGACCUACCUUAUAGACAAACCAAGAAGAACAGUGUUUCAGGAAUAGCUGUAGGUGAAGCCUUGGAGAGGGACUAAGAUGGCCUGUCAAGGGCAAGUGAAUGGAAUCCCAGCCUCAGUGAACCCACUGAGUAUUUUGCCCCAUCACAGUAUAUUCUUUCCUCACCAAAUUUCUGUCAAAAUUCUCAAGAUUUCACCAGAAAUUUUUUGUACCUCUAGAGUCUGCUGUUGAUGAGAGCUUCUGCUAUGAUUCACUCAGGCUGUACAGUCCAAGAAUGAAUGACUCAGCAUAAGGGAUGAGCAGAAGACAAGCCAUGGAUACGGAAAUAUCUCCCAAGUGCUGUAUAUAGACUACGGAUUCAUCAUGAGCCAACCUGGAAACUUCAGUCUGAGCAGCAGUCUUAAAUUACUAGGGACACGAAAAGCAAAGAACACUGAACCAAUGCGCUGAGGAGGGAGAGCACCUCAGUGCCGGUGCCAUAUCUGAGCUCCUGUGCCCAUUCUGUCACAAGAAGAAGUGCCAGAUAUGGGGACACACUGCAGCAGUCACCUGGUGCUGCACACAGUUGUACACAGACUGUGAUGUAAGAUCCACAGUCAUGUUACCAACCUCAGUUCACAAACAGUGGAGCCACAGAUAUCCUCCGGGAUGUCCAGAGGAAAUACACACCCAAGAACUGGAUAUCAGAGUUGUACACAAAUGAAAGAGCAUCGAUUUGGCUUCAGCAGGAGAUUUCUUAAAUAACAGGUUUUUCAGAAACACAUGCUAUUUGUCAAGUACAUCCUGAGGUCAUCCAGACAGGUCCUUGACUACUGAACCUAUCUGCUCAUCAAGGACAGUUGUUUUCAACAUUUUUCAGCUUGGGAAGCCCCUGUAUACUUUACCAGUGGAGGUCAGGUCUCAUGCAGUAUAUUUAAAUUUGCUAACAGUCAGCCUGCUUUCCUCAGUUACUCCUCCUUAGUACUGGAGCAGCUAGAUCCAUAGGAACUGACAACCACUGCUCAAGGCCAUGUUUACAGUAUCUUUUUUUUUUUUUUUUUUUUUUUUGAGAUCCCAUGUGGCAACUCUUAGUGCUUCUGUUGAAUCCUGGGAUAAGUGAGCUCCAUCAUUUCACUGAAUGGGGGAAAUCUAGGCUCUGAUAUAUUGCAUGUCAACAGUCACUGUUCCCAUUUUUUUUAGAAGGUGUACAACAAUGUAUACCCCCUCCAAGCAGGAAACAGUAAAUUCUGUAAUGAAACUGUGAAAGAGCAAUUAUGAGUGCAAUUAAGGUGAAAUAUAGCUCUAUUGAAGUUGGUGGGAGUUUUAUUAUUAACUAAAGUUUCACCCCUGUGUUUCGGGUGGAUAGUUAUCCUGUUCAAGCAAAGAAAUUGUUACUUAAUCAAAAUGACAUUUAUAAUGCAGUAUUACUUUCGUAUUCAAACAUUCAGGACACGUUUACUUUAAUCAGUUCUAAUUAAAUUGUUAUACAGGAAAAAGUUUUAGGUCUACUGGUGAGUGCUCAUAUAUUCAGGGGAAAAGCAAUGCAAAUUGUCCAGGAUCCCAUUAAGUGCUAUUUGUAGUUCUUAAACUAUGUGAUGUUUUAGCAAGUCACAUACAACUCUUCUGUUCUACUCCUCUGAAACCGAUUGUCCUAAACUGAGAGUGGACGCUUCUGAACUAAAGCAACCGCAAUAUUUACAAUGAUGCAGCAUUUGCAACAAGGUAAAUGAAGCAGUGAUUGCCAAACCUUCAGCCCCACUCAUUGCGAGGUUUAAGCAGCACUUUCACAGCCACUGGGAUUCUCCAGGUAUUAAAAGCGAGGAAGCAAAGAGGUUGAGGGAUGCUCUGGAUACUCUCACACCCCAUCUCUGGGCCAGGAUACAGGGUUGGCACAUGCCUGGCAGACCCUGCCCAGCCUGGCUUCUUCCCAGCAACAGAUCAAGAGAGGGUGGAGGGUACCCAUUUUCCUGCAUUGGGCAGAGUCAUGAUGGGGGUAGAAAACCAGGUGAAGUCCAGGCCUGGCUGGAGCUUUGCAGGCCUGCUAACACCUCAGAGAGUAAAAAGGGAGGCCCGGGUCAACAAAAGCACUCUUUUGCGUUCCUCCUCAUCACCUUUUCAUACAAUUUCAUGGUGGAAAACCCAACCCUUCCCUCAUAUCUUCUAUCUUUUUUGUCACGGUCCCUUGGAUCUAGUCCAUCUAGUCCCAUCUAGUUUUACAAGUCUGCUCAUGACAAUGCAGAACAUGAAAAUAUCCUGCCCUUCCAGCGUGACCCUGAUCAUGACUUGUCCUUUGUCAGGGCCACAGAAGCAACCCCCUGGCACCCCCAGAACACCAAGGUCCCAGCAGAAGAGUAAGGCACCUCCCCCUCACACCCAGCUCAGCUUGCUUCCUUCCUUCCUUGUUGGCACUGGUCCUCAAGCACCUCUACUACCUUUUCUGCUCCUCAUCAGCUCUCCAGCAUCACUCCUGUCUCCUCCUCCACUCACACUUGACUGCCUCACCAGUGUAUGGCCCCAAGCUGCUCACCACUGCUCUGCUACCCAUCACAUCCCAAACCAGGCACCAUCCUCUCUUGGCUGAGACCUGGUGCAUACUUAAAACCACCGGUGGAGAGGCAUGCAGGUGUUGUGAGGUGAGGAGCUGCUGAUGGGGACCCCCUCUGUGCCUGCAUUGCCACCAUCCAGCCUGAAGCAUCACAGAAGGAAAACAGAGGGUUUGGGUUGUGCCAUAACUCAGAAAGCAGCCAGCACAGCACAGUACAAUGCAGCUCAGCCUGCCUUGGGAAGGUGUUGAUGAAGUAUGCUAACUUGUCUCUUGGCUGAGAAAAGUAUGGACCCUGAAGGCAGGUAGUCCACAGGAAAGCAAGCGAAUCUGUCCUGGCUCUGGAGGCCUAAAGAGCAGUGACUGGGUUUAAGCACUUGGUAAAACAUCUUUUGAAGUCAGCCCUUCAGCCCAACUCAGUGAGCACAAAGGCACUUCCAUUGUGCACCAGAGGAAGUAGUGUGCCUGGCAAGCCACCGGGCCCGACUUCCCAGGGCAGAGUUCUGGGCAGCUGCUUCCCAUGUGGUUCACCAGGGCUCCUUUCACAGCAGGGUGGCGUGGGGACAACAUACGUGCUCCAGGAUCCAAAUACACCGGGCAUUUGAGCCUUCUCUGCUCUUAAAGGGCUGGUGGACACACCAACAAGCAGAACUGGUGCUGAGCUAGGUGUCAACUUUUUCUCCUCUGUGUUUGGGGAAUUGCCUGGGGCAACAGCUUCCUUAAGAGAUGCAGAGAAGGUGCAGAGUGGUUUUGAUUAUAUAGGCAGUGUUUGCUCAUUUUGAGAAUUAGGUGUUAGUAAGUUCUAAUUAUGUGAAAGAAGAGCAAAAACUGAAAUGUAUUUAGGCUAUGACAAGGGUCUGGAAUAAGACACAAGAUUUGCAAGAGUUAACACAUUAUGUCUAACAGAGUCAGAAGCUCCUCAUUACCUCAAAAAGCUAAUUUUUGCACCAUGAGUGCAUUGCAGUGAAACAACUUCCUCCUAUGUGACCCCAAACCUUCACCUGGACAAGCUGUACACAUGCAGGCCACUGCCAAGUUAGCAAGAGAACCAUUUCACAGGAAGCUGGAGUCUUCUGGAAACUUCCGUUUACAGGAAUGCAAAUAUUAUGCAAUUCCUCUUUGAACCCACACAUCUUUUUUUUUCCCUUUGACCUGUCCCUGCUGUGAGGGGCUGCUGGCUGAGGCAGCGUGGGCUCGCUGGAGCCAUGCCCACUGACACCCUGCCUGGCACCCGGCUCAGCAAGGCAACAGCCCCACGAUACCCCCAGGCUGGCACUGACACCCUCAUGCAAAGGUGCUGCAAGUCCUCACCUAAAUCACACUAAUACUGCAUGGCUGGCAUGGCAGAUCAGGCAAAGGUAGCUAAAACCUAGAGAAGAAAAAACCCCAUAUAGUCACCCAGGUCCAAGCCCACAGUGGUGGAUGCUGCACAGAACAUACCCUCCCUCUCCUUUCUCAGCUGUUGGCGAGUACCCCCAUAACACAGCAUCAAAUCCACCCCUUUUCCCACUCUCUCACACAGAAAUCCAAUGUCUCUCUGCCUGCUACAUCCCAAAACCUUUCUUAUACCAGAGUGAAUAUUAAAGUCAAGAAGGUGAUUGCAUUGUGUCAAUGUGCCAUGCUGCAGGUGUACAAAACAAACCAGGAGGUAAUCAAGCAAUCUGUCCAGAUCCAGCCUUAAACUAAGGGGUCAGGGAAUGGGACGGAAAACAAGGUCUAAUGUGUAUGUAUGAUGAAAGGUUGACAGUUAUUUCAUUGUGUGCAUCAGUGUGAAAAACCACAGUGACAAUGAUACUGGAAUGUGUUUUUCGUCACCAUGAAUACUUCAUGCCAGGUGGAGAGACCUUUCACAUGCAUGAGAAAUCCUGUGCUUUGGGGGCUGCACAACUUAAAGAAGAUGGGCCCUGAAACCACUAGCAAAAAUCCUGUUCUCCCAGACAAGCUGUGGCAGAAAGAGAUGAAGUUAUUUUCAUGUGAGACAUGCCUAAAGCCAAACAGCAGAGGAGCACCUCUCCCAGCCUCACCUCACCUGUGCAGAGCUGCACCUGCUCAGGGAUUUGCCCUGCUACUGCAUGUUAUGGCUUCUGGGCAGUUUUUUGAAACAGAACUCACAUUUGACAGACAUCCUCCUUUGCAACUGCAGAGUAUCUCAGUGAACCCUGUAGCAGUAAUUUUUAUGGAAAAUCUGGGAUUGCACAGUAGUAACUGGGGCAUGAGAGAACAACACAAUGGCCCAAACAACACAACAGUUUUGAGGAGUCACCACUAAAUGUAUCUCUCUUGCUUUCUAGGCUUCUAACUUAGAAAUUGUAGUACAGAUAGACCUUGCCCAACCCCCUCACCCACUCUCCUAGAUGCAAGGAGCUCCCUGUGAGCUCGUGCUUGACUUCUCCGCAGUAGAGAAGUACCCUCUGCUCUGAAGAUGAUUCCCACAAGCUCCAAGUUGACAGAGAUGAUAAGAAACAAAGGAUGCAGCUGUACACCCAGGGGAUCCAGAGACACAACAGCUUUCCACAUUUGUGGACUUCUUUGGGUGGAGAGUUUUCUCAUGACUGAGGAAAUUGAUGCAUCCAUCAAAAACUAAGCUGAUGCUGACUAAGAGUUUUUUUCUCUUCCUGUUACAUCCUCUGCAGCUCAAGAGGGAAUUUCCUGCCCAGUUAAGAUUUGGAGAACACACUCCACACUCUCAGCAUAUGGGUGAAUGGGAAGGAGGCCCAGCCCAAGGACUGCCACCUGCAGGGAAAGGGCAGAUGUAGUGUGGGCCAAAAGCCACAGUAGCCACAGUCCCUGGGCCAGGCUGUCCCUGUCUUCCCUGCUUGGCUGGUUCCUUCUCAUCCCUGUGCUCUGCCCCAGGACAGCAACAUACAGCUCAGCCCCAGGACCCCACCUUCCCCUCACUAACAAGCUGGACUUUAAGGAAAAGGAGUUGAUCUUCUACAAAACUCCCAAUUAAAUGGUGUGAUCUGACAAUACUCUCACUGCCAGACAAGACAUGAAGAUGCAAGAUAGAGGCAUCUUUCCUUUCUUGUUGUACUUCAGCAGCAACUGGAUUCAAUAUACACAGGGAACGUGAUCUUUCCCAUGUCAAGGGUGUUCACAAGGUUCAGACAAAAGCACAUUAAUAAUCAGUUUCCCUUUUCUGUACUUUUUUCAAGCUUGGACACCAAAACCAAGCAUCAUCUUUAUUUCUUGUCUGUGGGCUGUUUUUGAUGAGGGCUGGAAUUGGUGGCGUUUUCCCUUUGGAAGGUUUCACUGCUGUUCAUAAUACAAGCACAAAUUGGUAAAAUCUCCCUUUGGAUUCAGUAGAUGCAUUUACACUGGCAUAAAAGUCCUAAGCAUCCUAAGGCUUUUUUCUGAUUCUAUGCUAAACUAUUCAAGUGUAAACCAUCUUGAUGCUAAUAUAGCAAAUAAAAGUUGAAAAAGUACAUAAAACACAGUUACGCUACUAAAACUUUCCAAGUGUAGACAAAAGUAAUCACAUGCAACAACUAACAGCUUUGUGGAGCCCUCUAGACUCUGAACAUUGUCAUAUAUUGUGUCAACACAGGGCAUUUCCAAUUUAAUUAUCAGUUUCAUACACACAAACACACCCUCUUGUGAAAGUACCUAGAGCAUUGAAAUCUUGUGCUCACUGCCAGCCAUUUUCAUUCCAUGUUUGCCCUAGCCCACGGCUAGAGUACUUGUCUUGCACACAUUCCAGGGGAUAUUUUA